AUGAACGCUGGCGGCGUGCCUAAUACAUGCAAGUCGAGCGAACAGACGAGAGUGCUUGCACUCUCUGACGUUAGCGGCGGACGGGUGAGUAACACGUGGGUAACCUACCUAUAAGACUGGGAUAACUUCGGGAAACCGGAGCUAAUACCGGAUAAUAUUUAGCUUCGCAUGAAGCAAUAGUGAAAGACGGUUCUGCUGUCACUUAUAGAUGGACCCGCGGUGUAUUAGCUAGUUGGUGAGGUAACGGCUCACCAAGGCAACGAUACAUAGCCGACCUGAGAGGGUGAUCGGCCACACUGGGACUGAGACACGGCCCAGACUCCUACGGGAGGCAGCAGUAGGGAAUCUUCCGCAAUGGACGAAAGUCUGACGGAGCAAUGCCGCGUGAGUGAAGAAGGUGUUCGGAUCGUAAAACUCUGUUGUAAGGGAAGAACAAGUACGUUAGUAACUGAACGUACCUUGACGGUACCUUACCAGAAAGCCACGGCUAACUACGUG
This 498-nucleotide ribosomal RNA is filed under the name uncultured bacterium. RNAcentral describes it as "partial 16S ribosomal RNA". It matches the Rfam family "Bacterial small subunit ribosomal RNA", at positions 29 to 507 of the family's 1533-position model. The record is from RNAcentral.